CAGCCGCCGCGGUAAUACGGAGGGGGCUAGCGUUGUUCGGAAUUACUGGGCGUAAAGCGCACGUAGGCGGCUUGGUAAGUUAGAGGUGAAAGCCUGGAGCUCAACUCCAGAAUUGCCUUUAAGACUGCCGAGCUAGCAGGUGAGAGAGGUAAGUGGAAUUCCGAGUGUAGAGGUGAAAUUCGUAGAUAUUCGGAAGAACACUAGUGGCGAAGGCGGCUUACUGGCUCAUACUGGACGCUGAGGUGCGAAAGCGUGGGGAGCAAACAGGAUUAGAGACCCCAGUAGUCCCUGUAUCUUAUAC
Molecule: ribosomal RNA, 301 nt
Filed under: uncultured bacterium
Lineage: Bacteria
Description: partial 16S ribosomal RNA
Rfam family: Bacterial small subunit ribosomal RNA
Source: RNAcentral